UGGGAGGUGGUGUAACGGUAACACGGCAGACUCUGGAUCUGUUUAUCGGGGUUCGAAUCCCUGCCUCCCAGCCA
RNAcentral lists this transfer RNA (74 nucleotides) under Bryobacterales bacterium. RNAcentral's name for it is "tRNA-Gln". It matches the Rfam family "tRNA". From Rfam's summary of the family: Transfer RNA (tRNA) molecules are approximately 80 nucleotides in length. RNAcentral also lists the same sequence under 1 other name. The record is from RNAcentral. Lineage: Bacteria; Pseudomonadati; Acidobacteriota; Terriglobia; Bryobacterales.